AGUGAACGCUGGCGGUAGGCCUAACACAUGCAAGUCGAACGGCAGCACAGUAAGAGCUUGCUCUUACGGGUGGCGAGUGGCGGACGGGUGAGGAAUACAUCGGAAUCUACUUUUUCGUGGGUGAUAACGUAGGGAAACUUACGCUAAUACCGCAUACGACCUACGGGUGAAAGCAGGGGAUCUUCGGACCUUGCGCGAUUGAAUGAGCCGAUGUCGGAUUAGCUAGCUGGCGGGGUAAAGGCCCACCAAGGCGACGAUCCGUAGCUGGUCUGAGAGGAUGAUCAGCCACACUGGAACUGAGACACGGUCCAGACUCCUACGGGAGGCAGCAGUGGGGAAUAUUGGACAAUGGGCGAAAGCCUGAUCCAGCCAUACCGCGUGGGUGUAGAAGGCCUUCGGGUUGUAAAGCAUUUUUGUUGGGAAAGAAAAGCAGCAGGUUAAUACCCCGCUGUUCUGACGGUACCAAAAGAAUAAGCACCGGCUAACUUCGUG
RNAcentral lists this ribosomal RNA (492 nucleotides) under uncultured bacterium. RNAcentral describes it as "partial 16S ribosomal RNA". It matches the Rfam family "Bacterial small subunit ribosomal RNA", at positions 29 to 507 of the family's 1533-position model. The record is from RNAcentral.